AAGGAAUAGAGAUGUAAUUAGAGUGUGCCCCGAAGCAUUCAAAACAUUCAUCAUUCAAAUCUCAGUCUUCCACUUGUCAUCUAUAGCCUGGGACACAUAACUAUUCAGGACACUGGAGAACAGAGGGAAACACCUGGCUUGUGGUCUCCAAUCAGUCUUUUCAUUCAUUUAAGGAAAUCAUCUGCUCCAGCCUACUGCUAUGUAACAGCGGGCUGCGCUGAAUCUUUAGAUCCAGACUCAACAUGGCAGUCCUAUUCCUG
This 260-nucleotide long non-coding RNA is filed under the name Pan troglodytes (chimpanzee). Its description in RNAcentral is "long non-coding RNA NONPTRT012670". The record is from RNAcentral. Lineage: Eukaryota; Metazoa; Chordata; Mammalia; Primates; Hominidae.